This 251-nucleotide ribosomal RNA is filed under the name uncultured bacterium. RNAcentral describes it as "partial 16S ribosomal RNA". It matches the Rfam family "Bacterial small subunit ribosomal RNA", at positions 32 to 261 of the family's 1533-position model. The record is from RNAcentral.
AAUCAACGCUGGCGGCGUGCCUCAGACAUGCAAGUCGAACGCGAAAGUUUCCUUCGGGAGACAAGUAGAGUGGCGCACGGGUGAGUAACACGUAGGUAAUCUACCUUCGGAUGGGGAAUAACAAUCGGAAACGGUUGCUAAUACCGCAUAAUGCAGCGGCACCUAAUGGUGACAGUUGUUAAAGCGGGGGAGUCGAAGACCUCCGCGUCUGAAGAGGAGCCUGCGGCGGAUUAGCUAGUUGGUAAGGUAAU